RNAcentral lists this ribosomal RNA (460 nucleotides) under uncultured bacterium. RNAcentral describes it as "partial 16S ribosomal RNA". It matches the Rfam family "Bacterial small subunit ribosomal RNA", at positions 338 to 795 of the family's 1533-position model. The record is from RNAcentral.
CCUACGGGUGGCAGCAGUGAGGAAUAUUGGUCAAUGGACGAGAGUCUGAACCAGCCAAGUAGCGUGAAGGAUGACUGCCCUAUGGGUUGUAAACUUCUUUUAUAAAGGAAUAAAACGAGGCACGUGUGCCUUUUUGCAUGUACUUUAUGAAUAAGGAUCGGCUAACUCCGUGCCAGCAGCCGCGGUAAUACGGAGGAUCCGAGCGUUAUCCGGAUUUAUUGGGUUUAAAGGGAGCGUAGAUGGGUUGUUAAGUCAGUUGUGAAAGUUUGCGGCUCAACCGUAAAACUGCAAUUGAUACUGGCAGUCGUGAGUACAGUUGAGGUAGGCGGAAUUCGUGGUGUAGCGGUGAAAUGCUUAGAUAUCACGAAGAACCCCGAUUGCGAAGGCAGCUUACUAAACUGUGACUGACAUUGAUGCUCGAAAGUGUGGGUAUCAAACAGGAUUAGAUACCCCUGUAGUC